Molecule: ribosomal RNA, 548 nt
Filed under: Cerocoma scovitzi
Lineage: Eukaryota; Metazoa; Arthropoda; Insecta; Coleoptera; Meloidae
Description: partial 16S ribosomal RNA
Rfam family: Bacterial large subunit ribosomal RNA
Source: RNAcentral
CGCCUGUUUAUCAAAAACAUGUCUUUUUGUUAAUUAUUUAAAGUCUGGCCUGCUCCAUGAUUCAUUAAAUAGCCGCAGUAUUUUGACUGUGCAAAGGUAGCAUAAUCAUUAGUUUUUUAAUUGAAAGCUGGUAUGAAUGGUCGGAUGAGGAAGAAACUGUCUCAUUAUAAUUUUAAUUGAAUUUUAUUUUUAAGUAAAAAGGCUUAAAUUUUAUAGAAAGACGAGAAGACCCUAUAGAGUUUAAUAGAUUUAUGUUAUGAUAGAUUUAGGCUUUUAUUUUUAUUUUAAUAUAAAUUAUUUUGUUGGGGUGACAUUAGAAUUUGAAUAACUUCUUUUUAUAUUUACACUGAUUAGUGAAUAUAGGAUCCUUUGUUUUGGAUUAUAAGACUAAAUUACCUUAGGGAUAACAGCGUAAUUCUUUUAGAGAGUUCUAAUCAAUAAAAGGGAUUGCGACCUCGAUGUUGGAUUAAAGUUAAAUUUUGGUGCAGAAGCUAAAAUUUUGAGUCUGUUCGACUUUUAAAACUUUACGUGAUCUGAGUUAAGACCGG